RNAcentral lists this ribosomal RNA (801 nucleotides) under uncultured bacterium. RNAcentral's name for it is "bacterial SSU rRNA". It matches the Rfam family "Bacterial small subunit ribosomal RNA", at positions 8 to 796 of the family's 1533-position model. The record is from RNAcentral.
AGAGUUUGAUCAUGGCUCAGGACGAACGCUGGCGGCGUGCUUAACACAUGCAAGUGGAGCGACGAACCAGGGCUUGCCCUGGGGCAAAGCCGCGAACGGGUGAGUAACACGUGGGUAACCUGCCCCGAUGAUUGGGACAACCCGGGGAAACCCGGGCUAAUACCGAAUGUGCUCACGGGCCUUCUGGCCUGUGCGUAAAGGAAGCUUCGGCCUCCGCAUUGGGAUGGGCCCGCGGCCCAUUAGCUUGUUGGUGAGGUAACGGCUCACCAAGGCCGCGAUGGGUAGCUGGUCUGAGAGGACGAUCAGCCACACUGGGACUGAGACACGGCCCAGACUCCUACGGGAGGCAGCAGUGGGGAAUCUUGCGCAAUGCGCGAAAGCGUGACGCAGCAACGCCGCGUGGGGGAAGACGGCCUUCGGGUUGUAAACCCCUUUCAGUUGGGACGAAGCUCCGCCCGUUAAUAGCGAGGCGGAGUGACGGUACCUUCAGAAGAAGCCCCGGCUAACUACGUGCCAGCAGCCGCGGUAAUACGUAGGGGGCGAGCGUUGUCCGGAAUCAUUGGGCGUAAAGAGCGUGUAGGUGGCCCGGUAAGUCCGCCGUGAAAGUCCAGGGCUCAACCCUGGAAAGCCGGUGGAUACUGUCGGGCUGGAGUCCGGAAGAGGCGAGUGGAAUUCCUGGUGUAGCGGUGAAAUGCGCAGAUAUCAGGAGGAACACCAAUGGCGAAGGCAGCUCGCUGGGACGGUACUGACACUGAGAGCGAAAGCGUGGGGAGCAAACAGGAUUAGAUACCCUAGUAGUCC